GAUGAACGCUGGCGGUGUGCCUAAUACAUGCAAGUCGAACGAGGUGCUUUUGUAGCAAUACGAGAGUAUCCUAGUGGCGAACGGGUGAGUAACGCGUUGGUGACCUACCCCAAAGUGUGGGAUAACAGUCCGAAAGGAUUGCUAAUACCGCAUGUGGUCAUCGGGUUUAGAAACCGAUGUCUAAAGGAGUAAUUCGCUUUGGGAGGGACCUGCGUCCCAUCAGCUAGUUGGUGAGGUAACGGCUCACCAAGGCGACGACGGGUAGGGGACCUGAGAGGGUGGCCCCCCACAAUGGAACUGAAACACGGUCCAUACACCUACGGGUGGCAG
Molecule: ribosomal RNA, 330 nt
Filed under: uncultured Chloroflexota bacterium
Lineage: Bacteria; Bacillati; Chloroflexota
Description: bacterial SSU rRNA
Rfam family: Bacterial small subunit ribosomal RNA
Source: RNAcentral